AAGUCGUAACAAGGUCUCCGUUGGUGAACCAGCGGAGGGAUCAUUACCGAGUUCGUAAAAAAACUCCCCACCCAUGUGAACUUACCAUGUUGCCUCGGAGGACCUACCCCGGGACCUACCCUUAGCUACCUUGUAGCCGCCGGGUGGAAUCUAAAACUCUUGUUUUUUAUAGAAAUCUGAACGUCUUAUUAAAUAAGUCAAAA
This 203-nucleotide unclassified non-coding RNA is filed under the name plant metagenome. Its description in RNAcentral is "partial contains small subunit ribosomal RNA and internal transcribed spacer 1". The stretch from base 1 to 46 matches the Rfam family "Eukaryotic small subunit ribosomal RNA", at positions 1786 to 1831 of the family's 1831-position model. The record is from RNAcentral.